Molecule: long non-coding RNA, 483 nt
Filed under: Equus caballus (horse)
Lineage: Eukaryota; Metazoa; Chordata; Mammalia; Perissodactyla; Equidae
Description: lncRNA (ENSECAG00000043873.1)
Source: RNAcentral
GAGUUCAUCUUCCCUGUGGCUCAUGGCUUCUUGAAGAAGGAUGGACACAAUUUGGUUUGUGUUGGCACAGCGUGACAGUGAGGUAGGCAAGAUAUGGUGUUUGCCAAAGUUGUUUUUGGUGAGUUAAUGUCAUGAAUUCUGGUAAAAAAUUUUUCCUCUAAUAUUUGUUAAAACUUCUUCUCACCUCACAGUAUUCUCAAUCUUCUUCAUGUUAUUAAUUUGCAUAUCAAACUCACUGUUCAUAGAGGGAAGACCGUGUGAGGACACAGUGGGAAGACGGCCACCUGCAAGCCAAGGAGAGAGGCCUCAGAAGGAAGCGGCCAUGCAGACACCUUCAUCUUGGAAGUCCAGUCUCCAGACCUGUGAGAAAAACAGCUUCUGUUGUGAAAGAACUAUGAGCCUAUGGCAAGAUAUAAAGAAAUCUGGGGACUCCAAAAUGCCAAAGCUUCUGUUUAAAUUAUACCUCUGUCUAUUAAAACGUUU